CCUACGGGAGGCUGCAGUGAGGAAUAUUGGGCAAUGGCCGAGAGGCUGAACCAGCCAAGUCGCGUGAGGGAAGACGGCUCUACGGUUUGUAAACCUCUUUUGUCGGGGAGCAAAGCGAGUCACGUGUGACUCAUUGAGAGUACCCGAAGAAAAAGCAUCGGCUAACUCCGUUCCAGCAGCCGCGGUAAUGGGGGGGAUGCGAGCGUUAUCCGGAUUUAUUGUGUUUAAAGGGUGCGCAGGGGGAGGUGCAAGUCAGCGGUCAAAUUGCGGGGCUCAACCCCGUACUGCCGUUGAAUCUGCAGCCCUUGAGUGCGCGAGAAGUAUGCGGAAUGCGUGGUGUAGCGGUGAAAUGCAUAGAUAUCACGCAGAACUCCGAUUGCGAAGGCAGCAUACCGGCGCGCAACUGACGCUCAUGCACGAAAGCGUGGGUAUCGAACAGGAUUAGAUACCCCUGUAGUC
RNAcentral lists this ribosomal RNA (459 nucleotides) under uncultured bacterium. RNAcentral describes it as "partial 16S ribosomal RNA". It matches the Rfam family "Bacterial small subunit ribosomal RNA", at positions 338 to 795 of the family's 1533-position model. The record is from RNAcentral.